RNAcentral lists this long non-coding RNA (936 nucleotides) under Homo sapiens (human). Its description in RNAcentral is "HSALNT0329299". Lineage: Eukaryota; Metazoa; Chordata; Mammalia; Primates; Hominidae. The record is from RNAcentral.
CUUCUAACAAAAAAAAAAGUGUAACUCUAAGUUAUAAGAACUGCAACCAAAAGCAAAAGGCUGACAAUAACUGGCUCACUUUAAGAGAAUGGUUUUGAGUCUUCUUCAUUAAUAUACUUUGGAGACCCACAGUUAUAACUUUAAUGCCCAAAUUUCAAUAGUAUCCAAAAUAAUCUCUGAGCUAGCCUUAGGAUGUUUCUUAGCUAAGCGUUAUUAGUUUGGCUGGCUCACUCUUGGACAGAAAAAAAACAUAUUUAUGGUACUCCAAAUGUAGAAAAACCCAUGGCUUUUAUUUAAUACAUUUACAGUUUCUUGAGAUUACAAAACAUUUCACAGUUUCUAUCUGUAUGUAUAUUUAAAUUUCCUCUAAAUAUCUGAAAUCACACCAUCAGAAUCUAAGUUAGAUGAGAGCAGGAACCCUGACUAUUUCACUCACGUGUGUAGAGCCAAUGUCCCGUCUCCAGAGUAAAGAUUGGAUGGAAUGCAGAAUAUUGAAAUGGAAGGCAGAAUAUUGAAAUGGAAUGCAGAAUAUUGAAAUGGAAUGUAGAAUAUUGAAUGAAUCAAUCAAAGACUUUAACACUUCCAGCUACAGGCAGCUCAUUAUGGCUCAAAGCAGCCAGGCCUCAGAGUUCUUUUUUACAAUGAUUGGACUGUCAUCUCUUCCCACUUGUUUGUUCCAGUUUUAGCUCGUCAGGUCAUGUAGAUUUACUCUACCAUAUAACAAACCUUUAAAUACCUGAACUGAUACUCAUGCCCUACUUUCUCCACCUGACCUCUGAGGUUGACUUAUUUGGAGGUUCAAGAUAAUUGACCACUAAGUCUGGUUCUGGAGAAGUUGGGUUUCCACAUGCCUUACAGCUUGGAACGUGCUUCCUUGGGGAUUUCAUGUUCAUAUCAAUGACUGAUUUGGAAUUCGGAUUUGCCUUUGAAUGUUGG